RNAcentral lists this non-coding RNA (30 nucleotides) under Homo sapiens (human). Lineage: Eukaryota; Metazoa; Chordata; Mammalia; Primates; Hominidae. The record is from RNAcentral.
UUGUAGUUCUCAGAGUACUUAGCACCAUGC